RNAcentral lists this ribosomal RNA (489 nucleotides) under uncultured bacterium. RNAcentral describes it as "partial 16S ribosomal RNA". It matches the Rfam family "Bacterial small subunit ribosomal RNA", at positions 30 to 507 of the family's 1533-position model. The record is from RNAcentral.
AUUGAACGCUGGCGGCAGGCCUAACACAUGCAAGUCGAACGGUAACAGGAAGCAGCUUGCUGCUUUGCUGACGAGUGGCGGACGGGUGAGUAAUGUCUGGGAAACUGCCUGAUGGAGGGGGAUAACUACUGGAAACGGUAGCUAAUACCGCAUAACGUCGCAAGACCAAAGAGGGGGACCUUAGGGCCUCUUGCCAUCGGAUGUGCCCAGAUGGGAUUAGCUAGUAGGUGGGGUAACGGCUCACCUAGGCGACGAUCCCUAGCUGGUCUGAGCGGAUGACCAGCCACACUGGAACUGAGACACGGUCCAGACUCCUACGGGAGGCAGCAGUGGGGAAUAUUGACAAUGGGCGCAAGCCUGAUGCAGCCAUGCCGCGUGUAUGAAGAAGGCCUUCGGGUUGUAAAGUACUUUCAGCGGGGAGGAAGGGAGUAAAGUUAAUACCUUUGCUCAUUGACGUUACCCGCAGAAGAAGCACCGGCUAACUCCGUG